RNAcentral lists this unclassified non-coding RNA (379 nucleotides) under uncultured Rickettsiales bacterium. RNAcentral's name for it is "contains 16S-23S intergenic spacer region". Lineage: Bacteria; Pseudomonadati; Pseudomonadota; Alphaproteobacteria; Rickettsiales. The record is from RNAcentral.
UCCGGCUUAUCACCGGCAGUUUCCUCAGAGUUCUCAGCAUUACCUGUUAGCAACAGAGGAUGAGGGUUGCGCUCGUUGCGGGACUUAACCCAACAUCUCACGACACGAGCUGACGACAGCCAUGCAGCACCUGUGCACCUCCCACCCGAAGUGAAGAAACAAAUUUCUCUGUCUCAUAGAGGGCAUGUCAAGACCUGGUAAGGUUCUUCGCGUUGCCUCGAAUUAAACCACAUGUUCCACCGCUUGUGCGGGUCCCCGUCAAUUUCUUUGAGUUUUAAUCUUGCGACCGUACUCCCCAGGCGGGAUGCUUAACGCGUUAGCUACGUCGCCGAAGGUAAACCCCCGACAACUAGCAUCCAUCGUUUACGGCGUGGACUAC